Molecule: long non-coding RNA, 3018 nt
Organism: Mesocricetus auratus (golden hamster)
Lineage: Eukaryota; Metazoa; Chordata; Mammalia; Rodentia; Cricetidae
Exons: 4
Source: RefSeq, a predicted model, not a curated record
GGCUAGAGGGUAGAGAUCUGGGAAGGCUGCUGGUUGGAGGGGCUCAAUCCAUGAGGCUGUGGGGAAGCCAUCCUGCUUUCUGGGCAGAGAUUUUCUAACUCAGACUUUUGUGGAGUAGCUACCACACCCCCGACUACAAGCCACAGUGGAGAACUACAUAACCCAAGAUGCCUUACCAGCUUCAUCUGGGAGUCAGCCAAUGGAAGGAAACAUCAUAAGGCCCACAAUUGUAAGAGAGAGGAGAUAAUUAAGUGCUGCUGGAUCCUAAUUUUCUCACUACCUGGAAGCAAUCCAGUCCGUCCUUGCUAAACUUCGCAGGCUGCUCUUCGUUCCCUGAAGUAGGACUGUUUCCUCCUUUUGUUCCUGCAGCCUAGGCCUUCGCCCGAUACAUUAGACUUGCUUGUGGCACAGGUGGCACACCUCUGUGUGGAGAAACUGUGGUCAGCCAACUUCCUGUCCCUGCUGCCAUGCUUUCCCUGUCUGUGCUUUGCCUGCUCCAUCAUGUUGGACUCCAUCCCUCUACAGGGAUUUGACGGAUCUGGAAUAGCCAAAACAAAUUUGAAGAAGAAGAAAGAUGGAGGACUUGAGCCAUCUAUAGCAAUCAAGAUGACAUCCAUAGAAAUCAGGAUGAUGUAGCACUGAUGUAUGAUUACUGGGAGAAACAGUCUGAACAAGGGCCAGAAAUGAACAAACAUGGCAAAGAGAGUCAAGAGACUCCAGAAUGCAUGUGACCGAUUCCACAGAUGAGUUUUAAUGUCACAGAGUAAGUUUGAAAAACCCAAACUCAUACUUCUCGAGGUUAAAGGGCCUCAUUUUAUGUUAACCUUCUGGUUGGUAGAGUCUCAAGAUGGUGAAAGACAGGAAACCCAUGUGUGGUAUCUUCAUUGGUGUCUCCCACUCUUCUUCUGAAACCACCAUAGCCAAACCUGGGCUCUAGCUUCAUGACCUUGUUUAAUCUAAACACACUACAAAGGCCUUAUCUCUAAACAUGAAAGCUUUAGUUUCCAGUCUUUUUACAACCACAAUAGGGAUUAAAUGUCAACAGGAGCUUCAGAGAGAAAAAUGCCACAUUCAAACCAUAUCAUGGAAUGAUUAUUUUGAUAGCCACAUAUUUCUAAAAGAAUAUCCUUCAUUGUCUCAAAAUACAUAAAAAUACAAUCUCAGAAUUGUCAUAGACAUAAAUACAAGUAUAAGUCAUAAAAUUUCUAGAGGAAAGCAAGGAUGGAAAUUUUGUUGAUAUGAGGUCUUGGAGAGGCUUCUGAAAUAGGACACACACACACAAUGCUUCAUAAAGGAUAUUACAAAUAGGAUUUAUGAAAGUUAUAUUUUUCCUUUUUUAAAAGACAUUGUUAAGCAUGAACACACAGCCCACAAAGUAUAAAAAAGUGUUCCCAUAGUACAUACUCAACUAAGGGUUCACAUUCAGAAUAUAUAAGAAAGCAAACACCCCGGAUGCACUUGUUUGCACAUGCCUACAAUUCCAACACUUGGGAGGCAAAGACCGGUCAUCCUUAGUUCUAUGGUGAGUUUGAGACCAACCUGAACUAUGUGAGACCCUGUCUCACAUAAACCAUCAAAGAAGGAAAGAAAGGGGGGAGAGAAAGGAGAGAAAAAUCCAAUAAAAAUAGAAGAUCUUUAAUGAAGGUAAGUGAAUAGCCUGGAAAUAUGUGAAGUACAUCAUUUAUCAGCAAAGUGGGAAUUAAAACUAUAUAAGCCAUGUAUAUCCAUUAGAAUGACCAUAAUUAAAAUGAUGAGAAUUACAAAAUGUUAGUCAAUGAGAAGCCUGCUGGAAUGGAAUAUGGCAUAAUCACUUAGAAAAGGCUUUUGGUUUCUUAAAAAGUUAAAACAUAUAAUCCAGACAUUCCAUUCGAAGUAUUUAUGCAAAAGAAACAUAAACAUAUGUUCAUGUAAUGACUUGUACACAAAUAUUUAUAUUAGUUUUGUGCACAAUAACGGAACCUGGAAACACUCCAUAGCAACUUUAUGCACAAUUAGCAAAAAUUGGUAGUAAUCCAGAUGUUCCAACAGGUAAUAGAUAAACAGUGGAAUAUUAUUAGACAAUAAAAAGAAACAAACUUCUAGCAUAUAAAACAAAAUGAACUACCACCAAGGUCAAGAAGCCUGGAGUGACAACUAUGGUCCCAUUUCUAUAAAAAUCCUAGUCAAUAUAAUAAAGUUAUGACAAAAAAGCCAUUCUGUGAUUAAAAAAACAAAGGCACCGAUAACAAUAGAUGGGGGUCAAGAAUAACCCCGGGAGGUUAGAAAUAGUCACUAUUUUGUUAUAGCAGUGAUCUCAGACACACACAGAGCUGUGCAUAUUCAAUGAAAGCAGCAAACUACUCACCAGUAACACUUCAGUGAAGCUGAUUUUAAAGCAAAGUAAUGAGUUCACAAGCUAAUCUCUGGAAUUUGGACCCAAGUUUUUCUAAAUAGCACAAGUUUUCUUCCCAGAGUUAUGCAAGGUGAGAUCUGUCCCCAUCUGUUUUCCUGUCCCUUCUGUUUUGUGUUUCAUGCCACUUUCCCUUCCCUUCCCUUCCCUUCUGCAUCCCAUGUCACCUUUCCUUUCCUUCCCUCCUAUGUCCCAUGUCACCCUUCCUUCCCCCCUCCUGUGUUCCACGCCACCUGUUGUUUUAAUGUUCAAACAACUGCAGGCAAAAAAAGUUUACUUCUAACACAUACAGAAUCUCCAGGUUUUGCUACAGCAGCAAACAUCUCUAUCUGGGCUCCAUGUGUCUUUUUCUCUCAACGAACAUCAGCCAGCUUGGGUUGCUUUAUCUACUUCACUGGAUUUGGAAGCACACGGAGCAGCGAGGCACACCUCUGGCAUGUCUGGGAGGGCAUGUGACCAGAAGACCCACCCUGACAUAGGCAGCACCAUUUCAAGGGCUGAGGCCCACAUGGAAUGAGAGGGACAGGCCAUCAGAGGACCAGAAUUCCCCUUCACUCUGCUUUCUUGGAGGUCAAGAAAUCAACUGCUUUCCUCGGCCUCAAGUUAAGUAAACAUGGACUGAACCCUCU